CGGGGUGUAGCGCAGGUGGUAGCGCGUCCGGUUUGGGACCGGAAGGUCGUGGGUUCGAGUCCCGCCACCCCGA
RNAcentral lists this transfer RNA (73 nucleotides) under Tongtianella jiaweipingae. Its description in RNAcentral is "Actinomyces sp. zg-332 tRNA-Pro". It matches the Rfam family "tRNA". From Rfam's summary of the family: Transfer RNA (tRNA) molecules are approximately 80 nucleotides in length. Their secondary structure includes four short double-helical elements and three loops (D, anti-codon, and T loops). Further hydrogen bonds mediate the characteristic L-shaped molecular structure. tRNAs have two regions of fundamental functional importance: the anti-codon, which is responsible for specific mRNA codon recognition, and the 3' end, to which the tRNAs corresponding amino acid is attached (by aminoacyl-tRNA synthetases). tRNAs cope with the degeneracy of the genetic code in two manners: having more than one tRNA (with a specific anti-codon) for a particular amino acid; and 'wobble' base-pairing, i.e. permitting non-standard base-pairing at the 3rd anti-codon position. Lineage: Bacteria; Bacillati; Actinomycetota; Actinomycetes; Actinomycetales; Actinomycetaceae. The record is from RNAcentral.